UUAAGAAUUUCAAACACAGAUGUUUGUGUUUGGCUUAUAAUAGGGUUUACCUAUAUGAAGGAGAUCUGCCACACUUAACAAUUGCCUCUCUUUUUUUACGCAAUAACAGGCUCCAAUCCGAUGAUGAAGACCUAAAACCGAUCUUCUACAUGUAAUUAUAGGUGCCGCUGAGUUCAUGCCUCCCUAUGCACUUCUUUUAGGAAGUCACUUCAUUGAUGCCUGCAACAAGUAAAAAUUUCUAAAUUACUGAUACCGAUGAUCAAUAUUCUUGGUAGGAUACUUUAGCAGGAUCCCUCAAUGUUGGAGGUUCCAGUCUUCAGUUACGGGUUUCUAUGGAUGGAGAAUAGUGUGGACAUGGAUUUUCAUAUCGUGAUGGGUUGAUACAAGUUAUGAUAUUUUUCUUCAAGAUAGUUCCUUCUCAGAUGAUUGAUUUAUGGAAAAUGAACUUUAAUCGGUAUUGAUAUCGUCGGUUGUAUACAAAAUUGUGGAAUGAUAUUUAUAUUGUAUUUUUUUUUUUUUUUUUUGAAACUAUGACAAUAAAUUUUAUGAUAAAGAUUUGUUACUGUCACAGUGAACUUGUCUGGUCUUGUAUUAAAAGUGGUCUUGCAAUAAAUUAUUUAACUUGACAAGUAA
Molecule: non-coding RNA, 633 nt
Organism: Erythranthe guttata (spotted monkey flower)
Lineage: Eukaryota; Viridiplantae; Streptophyta; Magnoliopsida; Lamiales; Phrymaceae
Source: RefSeq, a predicted model, not a curated record